RNAcentral lists this ribosomal RNA (453 nucleotides) under uncultured bacterium. RNAcentral describes it as "bacterial SSU rRNA". It matches the Rfam family "Bacterial small subunit ribosomal RNA", at positions 28 to 498 of the family's 1533-position model. The record is from RNAcentral.
GACGAACGCUGGCGGCGCGCCUAAUACAUGCAAGUCGAGCGAGAACCGGGACUUCGGUCCCGGGGACAGCGGCGAACGGGUGCGUAACACGUGAGCAACCUGCCCCGAAGACCGGGACAAGCCGGGGAAACCUGGUCUAAUACCGGAUGUCCUCACCGCAUCGCAUGGUGUGGUGAGGAAAUGGAUUCCGCUUCGGGAUGGGCUCGCGGUCUAUCAGCUUGUUGGUGGGGUAACGGCCCACCAAGGCGACGACGGAUAGCUGGUCUGAGAGGACGAUCAGCCACACUGGGACUGAGACACGGCCCAGACUCCUACGGGAGGCAGCAGUAGGGAAUCUUGCGCAAUGGGGGAAACCCUGACGCAGCGACGCCGCGUGCGGGAUGAAGGCCUUCGGGUUGUAAACCGCUUUCAGCAGGGACGAAAUUGACGGUACCUGCAGAAGAAGGCCCGGCC